This 258-nucleotide ribosomal RNA is filed under the name uncultured bacterium. Its description in RNAcentral is "partial 16S ribosomal RNA". It matches the Rfam family "Bacterial small subunit ribosomal RNA", at positions 524 to 776 of the family's 1533-position model. The record is from RNAcentral.
UACGUAGGGUGCGAGCGUUGUCCGGAAUUACUGGGCGUAAAGAGCUCGUAGGUGGUUUUGUCGCGUUGUUCGUGAAAACUCACAGCUCAACUGUGGGCGUGCGGGCGAUACGGGCAGACUAGAGUACUGCAGGGGAGACUGGAAUUCCUGGUGUAGCGGUGGAAAUGCGCAGAUAUCAGGAGGAACACCGGUGGCGAAGGCGGGGUCUCUGGGCAGUAACUGACGCUGAGGAGCGAAAAGCGUGGGGGAGCGAACAGG